GCCAAUGUGGUGUAGUGGGUUGAGUGCUAGACUCUGAAUGUGGGGACCAGGGUUCGAAUCUCCGUUCAGCCA
Non-coding RNA from Phrynosoma platyrhinos (Desert horned lizard), 72 nucleotides. NCBI's taxonomy places the organism in Eukaryota, Metazoa, Chordata, Lepidosauria, Squamata, Phrynosomatidae. The record is from the annotation of a GenBank genome assembly.